This 403-nucleotide ribosomal RNA is filed under the name Fusobacteriota bacterium. RNAcentral describes it as "Fusobacteria bacterium partial 16S ribosomal RNA". It matches the Rfam family "Bacterial small subunit ribosomal RNA", at positions 355 to 776 of the family's 1533-position model. The record is from RNAcentral. Lineage: Bacteria; Fusobacteriati; Fusobacteriota.
UGGGGAAUAUUGCACAAUGGAGGGAACUCUGAUGCAGCGACGCCGCGUGAACGAAGAAGGCUUUCGAGUCGUAAAGUUCUUUUAUAUGGGAAGAUAAUGACGGUACCAUAAGAAAAAGCCCCGGCUAACUACGUGCCAGCAGCCGCGGUAAUACGUAGGGGGCUAGCGUUGUCCGGAAUCACUGGGCGUAAAGGGUUCGCAGGCGGAAAUGCAAGUCAGGUGUAAGAGGCAGUAGCUUAACUACUGUAAGCAUUUGAAACUGCAUAUCUUGAGAAGAGUAGAGGUAAGUGGAAUUUUUAGUGUAGCGGUGAAAUGCGUAGAUAUUAAAAAGAAUACCGGUGGCGAAGGCGACUUACUGGGCUCAUUCUGACGCUGAGGAAUGAAAGCGUGGGUAGCAAACAGG